UCCCCAGGCUGGGACUACUUGUUAACAGCCACAACUUCUGGAGGACAAGCAGGAUGCAGUAAUCGUAUUAGGAGAAAGCAGGUAAAUAAGAUUUCAACACAAUGUUAUUCUGGCAACAAGGAUGAAAUUGUAUUAAAUUUGAAUUGCCAUAGACACUGUAAAUCCUCCUGGAAAUCCCUAUUUGAAAGUGCUCCAGUCUCCAGCUUCAGCGACCUGCUUUGAGCUACAUUUCUCUUCAUCCUUCAAAUGAUCCCCAAAUGACUUGGUUUUGUGCUCCCUCAACAUAUUGAUCAUCUCUUCUGGAUGACAGCCACCUGGUUAACAUCUCUGAAAAAGCAGAACAGUCAAGUUUUGAAAAAAAUAAUCCAGAUGUGAUAUAACCAAGUACGAGUAAAGACAUACUAUAACUUCCUUUGUCUGCAUAUCAAACUUUAGUUAAUUCAGUC
Molecule: long non-coding RNA, 446 nt
Filed under: Monodelphis domestica (gray short-tailed opossum)
Lineage: Eukaryota; Metazoa; Chordata; Mammalia; Didelphimorphia; Didelphidae
Description: lncRNA (ENSMODG00000035565.2)
Source: RNAcentral